CGCUUCAUAGCGUCUAUUAAAGUUGUUGCCGUUAAAAAGCUCGUAGUCGAACUUCGGUCCCUGUGGGCCGGUCCGCCUUCUUGGUGUGUACUUGCUCCACGGGGACUUACCUCCUGGUGAGCUGCCAUGUCCUUUACUGGGUGUGGUAGGGAACCAGGACGUUUACUUUGAAAAAAUUAGAGUGUUCAAAGCAGGCCUACGCCCGAAUACAUUAGCAUGGAAUAAUAGAAUAGGACGAGCGUUCCCAUUUUGUUGGUUUCUGAGAUCGCCGUAAUGAUUAAUAGGGAUAGUUGGGGGCAUUUGUAUUCCGUCGUCAGAGGUGAAAUUCUUGGAUUGCCGGAAGACAAACUAUUGCGAAAGCAUUUGCCAAGGAUGUUUUCAUUGAUCAAGAACGAAGGAAGGGGGAUCGAAAACGAUCAGAUACCGUUGUAGUCUCUUCUGUAAACUAUGCCAAUUGGGGAUUAGCUUAGGAUUUUUAAUGACUAAGUUAGCACCCGAAGAGAAAUCUUUAAAUGAGGUUCGGGGGGGAGUAUGGUCGCAAGGCUGAAACUUAAAGGAAUUGACGGAAGGGCACCACCAGGUGUGGAGCCUGCGGCUUAAUUUGACUCAACACGGGGAAACUCACCAGGUCCAGACACAAUAAGGAUUGACAGAUUGAUAGCUCUUUCUUGAUCUUGUGGUUGGUGGUGCAUGGCCGUUCUUAGUUGGUGGAGUGAUUUGUCUGGUUAAUUCCGAUAACGAACGAGACCUUAACCUGCUAAAUAGACCAGCCGACUUUGGUUAGCUGCUGUCUUCUUAGAGGGACUAUCAGCGUUUAGCUGAUGGAAGUUUGAGGCAAUAACAGGUCUGUGAUGCCCUUAGAUGUUCUGGGCCGCACGCGCGCUACACUGACAGAGCCAGCGAGUCUACCACCUUGGCCGGAAGGCCUGGGUAAUCUUGUGAAACUCUGUCGUGAUGGGGAUAGAACAUUGCAAUUAUUGUUCUUCAACGAGGAAUACCUAGUAAGCGUGAUUCAUCAGAUCGCGUUGAGUACGUCCUGACCCUU
RNAcentral lists this ribosomal RNA (1045 nucleotides) under uncultured urediniomycete. RNAcentral describes it as "SSU rRNA". It matches the Rfam family "Eukaryotic small subunit ribosomal RNA", at positions 587 to 1660 of the family's 1831-position model. Lineage: Eukaryota; Fungi; Basidiomycota. The record is from RNAcentral.